AGUACUAGUGAUAUACAAAUGGCUGAGCGUGAAAAAGGUAGGAGUUGAGUUUUUGGGAAUAGAUGGAACAAUAGAAACGCAAGCAUCCUCAUCACCACUUAUUUUAUUCCCAAAUUUGAAAACACUUGAAUUCAACUCUUUGUAUACGUGGGAAGAGUGGGAAGGAAUGACAGGGUGGAGUGAAGAAGGGGAUUCUCAGAAGACAAUUAAAAUAAUGCCCUGCCUUUCUUCCUUACUAAUUUAUGAUUGCGGAGUACUAAGAACGCUGCCCAACUUCUUACGAAAUACACCACUGAAGAAGUUGGUCAUCGAUGAGAACUACUAUCCAACACUUGCACAAGGUUGCCGAAAAGGCGGAGGAGAGUGGCCCAAGAUUUCUCACAUCCCAAACAUCAAAGUUGGUAAAGAAUUUGUACAAAAAGACGGAGUUUACCAAAUUGAUGAUGAUGAGAUGCCAAGUGUUGCUUCCACAUCUUCUUCUGGUAUUAAAAAAUUUCUCAAAAACUGUCUCGGGCUAGGCCUGGCCCUACCUGGCCAGGCCUAGAUCCGUGCCAACGACCUCCAUUUCCAAAUUCUAGCCGUUGAAGGUAUUUUCUGGCAUGCAAAGAGGAAAGUCUCAUUUGAAUUCACACUCCGAAGAUAAUCUUGUUGGAAGUGUGCACUUUGUCCAGUGCAGUAGGGAAAAUAAUUAUAAUAUCUUAUAUGUAUG
Long non-coding RNA from Prunus dulcis (almond), 709 nucleotides. RefSeq lists it as uncharacterized. Lineage: Eukaryota; Viridiplantae; Streptophyta; Magnoliopsida; Rosales; Rosaceae. The record is from RefSeq and is a predicted model, not a curated record. The transcript is spliced from 3 exons.